RNAcentral lists this transfer RNA (76 nucleotides) under Dryococelus australis. Its description in RNAcentral is "tRNA-OTHER". The record is from RNAcentral. Lineage: Eukaryota; Metazoa; Arthropoda; Insecta; Phasmatodea; Phasmatidae.
UAAGUUAGCUCAGUUGGUUAGAGAGUCGUGCUAAUUACGCGAAGGUCGUGGGUUCGAUCCCCCACGGGCCACUUAA